CUCUUCCCAGCAGCUCCUGAACUAGCCCCACGUGGCCUUCCUUGGCAGCCAGGUGAAGCGCGUUGAGUCCAUUCUGAAAGGAGAAAGCAACAAGGCUCAGAAGUGCAGUGAUGAGGAGGCACACCGUUGCUGAUCUUAAGCAAGAUUAAUCCCAAACCAACGUCCACCUCUUGAGGCGCUGCUGGCUCUUCUAAGAGAGGUCUCAGAGCAGCCGUGGAACCCAGAGAAGGGGCCCAGGUUCCAAGCCAUUGGAAGCAGUGUUAGAGGCAGUCCAGGGAUGGCCCAGGCAGAAAAGGAGGCCCAUGUGGGCCUAGUGAUGGAGCUGCAAGGCCAUGAGCAUUCCUUGCUGCCCUCGCCUGGCUGUUGGAACCAGGGCCCACGACCAGGGCUCCUUGUAGACCCAGGAAUUGUGAGGCUGACCCACCAGCUGAUGUCUUUACUGUGGCGGCAUCCUGAGUACAGACCAACCAAAACAGGCUACUGUUGAUAACUCUUUGGUAUUGGCUUUAUGUAAGUUAAUUUUGAUAAAAGAAUAUGAACUUGAAAAACAGGAAUAAACAAAAAAAUAUGAACUCAAGUCUUUUGAAACAAUCAAAAAGUAUUCAUUGAGCUGGCUUACUGAGAGCAAAAUACUGAUUGGGCUUAUACACCUGUGAAUCCCAA
Molecule: long non-coding RNA, 663 nt
Organism: Bubalus bubalis (water buffalo)
Lineage: Eukaryota; Metazoa; Chordata; Mammalia; Artiodactyla; Bovidae
Exons: 3
Source: RefSeq, a predicted model, not a curated record